RNA transcript from Odobenus rosmarus divergens (Pacific walrus), 826 nucleotides. It is a transcript of the gene named 60S acidic ribosomal protein P0-like, with no coding region annotated. The record is from RefSeq and is a predicted model, not a curated record. The transcript has 2 exons. Lineage: Eukaryota; Metazoa; Chordata; Mammalia; Carnivora; Odobenidae.
CGCGGCAAUCCCUGACGCACCGCCGGAUGCCCAGGAAGACAGGGCGACCUGGAAGUCCAACUACUUCCUUAAGAUCAUCCAACUUUUGGAUGAUUAUCUGAAAUGCUUCAUUGUGGGAGCAGACAAUGUGGGUGCCAGCUGCCGCCCGUGCUGGUGCCAUAGCCCCUGUGAAGUCACUGUGCCAGCCCAAAACACUGGUCUGGGGCCCGAGAAGACCUCCUUCUUUCAGGCUUUAGGCAUCACCACUAAAAUCUACAGAGGCACCACUGAAAUCUUGAGUGAUGUGCAGCUGAUUAAGACCGGAGACAAAGUGGGAGCCAGCGAAGCCACACUGCUGAACAUGCUGAACAUCUCCCCCUUCCCCUUUGGGCUGAUCAUCCAGCAGGUGUGUGACAAUGGCAGCAUCUACAACCCUGAAGUGCUUGACAUCACAGAGGAGACUCUGCAUUCUUGCUUCCUGGAGGGUGUCCACAGUGUUGCCAGCGUAUGUUUGCAGACAGGUUACCCAAAUGUUGCAUCAGUGCCCCAUUCUAUCAUCAAUGGAUACAAGCUGGUCCUGGCUUUGUCUGCGGAGACUGAUUACACCUUCCCACUUGCUGAAAAGGUCAAGGCCUUCUUGGCUGAUCCAUCUGCAUUUGUGGCUGCUGCCCCCACUUCUGCACCUGCUGCUGCUGCGGCCCCAGCCAAGGCUGAAGCAAAGGAGGAGUCAGAGGACUUGGACGAGGAUAUGGGAUUUGCUCUCUUUGACUAACACCAAAAAGCAACCAAUUCAGCCAAGUUUAUUUGUGAGACAAGGAAAUAAAGGCUUACUUCUCUUAAAAAAAAA